This 427-nucleotide ribosomal RNA is filed under the name uncultured bacterium. RNAcentral's name for it is "bacterial SSU rRNA". It matches the Rfam family "Bacterial small subunit ribosomal RNA", at positions 354 to 796 of the family's 1533-position model. The record is from RNAcentral.
GUGGGGAAUAUUGCACAAUGGGCGAAAGCCUGAUGCAGCAACGCCGCGUGAAGGAAGAAGGUCUUCGGAUCGUAAACUUCUGUCCUAGGGGAAGAAGAACUGACGGUACCCUUGGAGGAAGCCCCGGCUAACUACGUGCCAGCAGCCGCGGUAAUACGUAGGUUGCAAGCGUUGUCCGGAUUUACUGGGUGUAAAGGGCGUGUAGGCGGAGGAGCAAGUCAGAUGUGAAAUCCCGGGGCUUAACCCCGGAACUGCAUUUGAAACUGUUCCCCUUGAGUAUCGGAGAGGCAAGCGGAAUUCCUAGUGUAGCGGUGAAAUGCGUAGAUAUUAGGAGGAACACCAGUGGCGAAGGCGGCUUGCUGGACGACAACUGACGCUGAGGCGCGAAAGCGUGGGGAGCAAACAGGAUUAGAUACCCCAGUAGUCC